AACGAACGCUGGUGGCGUGCUUAACACAUGCAAGUCGAACGAGAAAAUUUCCUUCGGGGAACUAGUAAAGUGGCGCAAGGGUGAGUAACACGUGGAAUAAUCUGCCCUCGAGAUCGGGAUAACAUGGUGAAAACUAUGCUAAUACCGGAUAAGACCACAUUUCAAAAGAAAUGCGGGAAAAGGAGUCUCAAACCUUCACUCGAGGAUGAGUUCGCGCAACAUUAGCUUGUUGGUGAGAUAAAAGCUCACCAAGGCUACGAUGUUUAGCCGGCCUGAGAGGGUGAUCGGCCAUACUGGAACUGAGACACGGUCCAGACUCCUACGGGAGGCAGCAGUGGGGAAUAUUGCACAAUGGAGGCAACUCUGAUGCAGCAAUGUCGCGUGAGUGAAG
RNAcentral lists this ribosomal RNA (391 nucleotides) under uncultured Nitrospina sp. RNAcentral describes it as "bacterial SSU rRNA". It matches the Rfam family "Bacterial small subunit ribosomal RNA", at positions 29 to 410 of the family's 1533-position model. The record is from RNAcentral. Lineage: Bacteria; Pseudomonadati; Nitrospinota; Nitrospinia; Nitrospinales; Nitrospinaceae.